GCGUAGGGUAUGUAGGCUGUGAAAAACAGUGGAAAUUAAAGACUGGGUAGCAAUCCUUUAUGUUUCCUCGCUGAUUUCACUAGAAUCUUAGAAGGACGAUGGUAUUAAUCAGGAAUAGUUAAAUAUGAGAUAGAUAAAGGACCGACAGUGGUGAAAACAAUCUUCUUAUCAAGUAUUGAGCUAAUAUACGAAGGCAGGGGAGCGAAACGGAUUAGACACCCGUGUAGUCCGUGCUGUCAACGCUGAAUUUUCAAUGUAGGUUGGUUUGACUACUUCCCCGACAGUAAGAAAAAGGGAAACUUGGUGUUUUAGUAACGCGUUAAAUGUUCCGCUGGGAAGUACGGCCGCAGGUUGAAACUCAAAAGAAUUGAGGUGGCUUGUACGAGG
This 387-nucleotide ribosomal RNA is filed under the name Arcyria ferruginea. RNAcentral describes it as "SSU rRNA". It matches the Rfam family "Bacterial small subunit ribosomal RNA", at positions 558 to 930 of the family's 1533-position model. The record is from RNAcentral. Lineage: Eukaryota; Evosea; Eumycetozoa; Trichiida; Trichiidae.